GGAGGGUGCAAACGUUGCUCGGAAUUACUGGGCGUAAAGCGCGUGCAGGCGGUUUGGUUUAGUCUCGUGUGAAAGCCCUGGGGCUCAACCCAGGAUGUGCACGGGAUACUGGCAGACUAGAGUGCGGGAGAAGAGGGCGGAAUUCCCGGUGUAGAGGUGAAAUUCGUAGAUAUCGGGAGGAACACCAGAAGCGAAGGCGGCUCUCUAGACCGACACUGACGCUCAGACGCGAAAGCGUGGGUAGCAAACAGGAUUAGAUACCCUGGUAGUCCACGCCGUAAACGAUGGAUACUAGAUGCUGGAGGCUUGACCCCUUCAGCGCCGUAGCUAACGCAUUAAGUAUCCCGCCUGGGGAGUACGGUCGCAAGACUA
RNAcentral lists this ribosomal RNA (372 nucleotides) under uncultured organism. RNAcentral describes it as "partial 16S ribosomal RNA". It matches the Rfam family "Bacterial small subunit ribosomal RNA", at positions 527 to 896 of the family's 1533-position model. The record is from RNAcentral.